RNAcentral lists this ribosomal RNA (464 nucleotides) under Vreelandella stevensii. RNAcentral's name for it is "partial 16S ribosomal RNA". It matches the Rfam family "Bacterial small subunit ribosomal RNA", at positions 338 to 795 of the family's 1533-position model. Lineage: Bacteria; Pseudomonadati; Pseudomonadota; Gammaproteobacteria; Oceanospirillales; Halomonadaceae. The record is from RNAcentral.
CCUACGGGGGCUGCAGUGGGGAAUAUUGGACAAUGGGCGAAAGCCUGAUCCAGCCAUGCCGCGUGUGUGAAGAAGGCCUUCGGGUUGUAACGCACUUUCAGUGGGGAAGAAAGCCUUGGGGCUAAUACCCUCGAGGAAGGACAUCACCCACAGAAGAAGCACCGGCUAACUCCGUGCCAGCAGCCGCGGUAAUACGGAGGGUGCGAGCGUUAAUCGGAAUUACUGGGCGUAAAGCGCGCGUAGGCGGUCUGAUAAGCCGGUUGUGAAAGCCCCGGGCUCAACCUGGGAACGGCAUCCGGAACUGUCAGGCUAGAGUGCAGGAGAGGAAGGUAGAAUUCCCGGUGUAGCGGUGAAAUGCGUAGAGAUCGGGAGGAAUACCAGUGGCGAAGGCGGCCUUCUGGACUGACACUGACGCUGAGGUGCGAAAGCGUGGGUAGCAAACAGGAUUAGAUACCCGUGUAGUC